RNAcentral lists this long non-coding RNA (17824 nucleotides) under Nicotiana benthamiana. RNAcentral's name for it is "long non-coding RNA (NBEN_LNC041049)". The record is from RNAcentral. Lineage: Eukaryota; Viridiplantae; Streptophyta; Magnoliopsida; Solanales; Solanaceae.
UCCUUUUGGAAUUUUUAUUUUUUCUACUUGGUCCUUAGUUUAAAAUCAGUUUUUGCAAAAUCAUACCCAAUCCCCACCUUCUAGGAAGCUUCACCAUUUAGUUAUUAAAGACUCCCUAUCCUGCAAUUCCUAAAUUAACCUUUAAACCCUAAUUUUUUACUUCAGGAACCUAAAUGGGUCAUAUUGACCCAAGGUUCAUCCCCAAAACCUGGGCUUGCAGACCCGGUUUAAUUCCCCCUUUGGACUUCUGAUUUUCAAAACUCAGUUUGAACCACAAUCAAAGGUCACAAAUUUAACUAGCUAACUAGAGUUUCCCAAAAAGAAAAACAAGAAAACCUUUAAAAUGAAACUAAAACAAAAAGGGGAAAAUAAACUAAUUAGACCUAAAUAAUAAAAACCCAAAACAAAAUAAAGUAAACUUGUUAUUAAUCUAAUUAUGCAACAGAACAAUGAUAAAAAAUGAAAACAUAACAAAGAAGAAGAAAAGGGGAGACAAAAAAGAGAUGAAGAUGAACUUAAACGAAUAAAGAAAAAGAAAAAUGCAAAAAAUAAAAAGAAGCUAAAAAACAUAAGAACCGGGCGGACAAAAUCUUGAAACUACUCCUCGAACCUUUGAUUUUGACCGAAAUGUGUCUUAAUCGUGUGUUCUCAAACGAAAAUACACAAAUAAGGUCAAUUUCAGCUUCAAUCCUUCACUAAACUUGUUGAUUUGGGGUUUUGGGAUUUUAAGGUUUAGAACUUCGAUUUAAGAUUCGAAGGAGACUAGGGUGAUUCGAGGGAAAUGAGUGUAUAUUUGGAAAAAGGAGAUCAUGGGUGUUUUGGAUGUGACUUUGGGACGGAUUGGGAGCGGCGCUGCCACCGAAGAACGCUGGUGCAGUGCUAGGCUUAUGGGUUGUCUCUAAAAAGUGAGGUGAAUUGAGAGAAAUGAGUUAGAGAGGGGUAAUGGGCUUUAGGACAGUUAUAUAUUGUCAAGUACCCUAUUUCCCAAUCGUUGGACCAAGUGAUAUCAAUGACUCAUAUUUGGGGAAAUGAAAACGGGGUCGUUUGGUUACUGAUGGGGUUUGACCGGAUAGGGACGUAGAUCAGGGCCGGUUUGAGCGGGUAUUUGUGUUUAAACAAUUGGGCUUGGGCGGGAUUGGAUUUAAAUUUGCCCAAAAUCAAACUUCUUCUUUUAUUUCUUUUUCUUUCAAUUUCUAAUUUUCUUUUCCUUUUCCAAAUUAAAAUAAAACCUAAAUUAAAUAUUAAAUACUAAAUUAACCUAUUAAAAUAUUAAUUACUCAAGCAUAGUAUUUACAAAAAUUAAUUAACUCUUAAUUUAAAAGAAAAAGCUACAAAAUUCGAAAUUAAAAAAUGAAAAUGCAACAAGAACUAUUUUAUGAUUUUUUGUAAACCAAACUAAUUUACAAAUUAAAUUAAAAAUAUAAAAUUAAGUUCUAAAUAUAAAUACAAUAUAUUUUUGUAUUUUUCAUGAAUUAAUAAAAAUUAACCAUGCACGCAAGAAAUGCAAUUGAUUAGAAAAAAUUCUACAAUGCUUCCUAAAAUAACAAAUAAUUAGGAGAAAAAAUCUAAUUUCUGGAAUUCUGUAGGAGUAAUUCAUGUAAGGAUGAAAUCACGUGCUCACAGCUUCCCCUCUUUGCUCAAGACACGAAGGGUUUUCAGGCAAAAGAUAAAAUGAGUGAUUACGGGGGUUUUUUGCCCGUUUGAAACUCUAUGAGAAGCAUUUUUUUGAAAAUGAGCCUGACUGAACCUUGCUUCAGAGGUUGCCUACAUAUCCUUGGGUAUAAAGGAAUUAGGUCAUGUAGUUCUGGAAGUUGUGGUAGCUGGGAGUACCGGGAAGCUGUGAUUUCACUAUUGUUGUUGCUGCUACUACUUGUUAAACUCUUUAUUACACCAAAGACGAAAAAUAAAAAGCUAAACUGGCCAAAUCUAUCAGGUACGAGUUACAAGAUUCCUAUCUAUAAAUCUUUUGAAGCUUGAUCUUGAGUCUUAGUUAGUUCUUGUUGUAGACUCCAAUCUAAAUCUUGAUGCUCGUCAGUUGUAGGUGCUGGUUCUUUCUUCAGCUUUGGAUCCAGGAGGGAGAUGCGAAGCCUAUGACUUCAACCAUAUCUUGAAUAGUCUGCAUCCUUAUCCACUUCAACAGUUUGAGUUCCCUUCUUUUGCUAUUUUAUUCUUUCUUUAUUUUGGAUUGAGACUCAUUCUUUGGUCGUCUCGAACUUGGUGCCUUGAGGUAAAACCUGCUCAAACACCAAAAACAAACAAACAAAUAUAAUUGUUUUUCCCCAGUUUUCACUGGGAAAAUUUCCUGAGUUAAUUGUAACUAAGAUCUAAAAUAUUUUUUUUUAAGAAAUAACAUAAGGAUCGUGUGUCUUUCAGAGGAAAAAGGAACUAAGGAAUGGAGGCCCUAUGUCUAAAAUCUCAACUAGGGAAUGGAGGCCCUAUAUUGGCAAAAGGCGGCUAGGGACUGGAGUCCCUAUGUCUAAAAAAUCUCAAUUAGGGAUUGGAAUCCUAUGUUGGUAAAAAAGCGAAUAGGGAAUGGAGGCCCUAUGUCUAAAAUCUUAACCAGGGAUUAGAGCCCUAUGCUGGUAAAUGAUGAUUAAGGAAUGGAGCCCCUAUGUCUAAAAAAUCUCUACUAGGGAAUGGAGGACCUAUGUUGGCAAAAGGCGACUAGGGAAUGGACGUCGUAUGCCUAAAAAAAUCUCGACUAGGGAAUGGAGGACCUAUGUUGACAAAAGGAGAUUAGGGAAUGGAGGUCAUAUGUCUAAAAAAAAUCUCAACUAGGGAAUCGAGGCCCUAUGUUGAAAAAAUGCGACUAGGGAAUAGAGGCGCUAUGUUGGCAAAAGGUGACUAGGUAAUGGAGGCCCUAUGUCUAAAAAUUAUCUAAACUAGGGAAUGGAAGCCCUAUAUUGGCAAAAGACGACUAGGGAAUGGAGGCCCUAUUUCAAAAAAAUCUCAACUAAGGAAUGGAGUCCCUAUGUUGGCAAAAGGCGACUAGGGAAUAGAAGCCCUAUGUCUAAAAAUCUCAACUAGGGAAUGGAGGCCCUAUGUUGGAAAAAGGCGACUAGAGUAUGGAGGCCCUAUGUCUAAAAAAAAUCUCAGCAAGGGAAUGUAGGCCUUAUAUUGUUAAAAAGCGACUAGAUGAUGGAGGCCCUAUGUCUAAAAAAGUCUCAACUAGGAAAUGUAGGCCCUAUGUUGUCAAAAGGAGACUAGGGAAUAGAGGCCCUAUGUUGGCAAAAGGCGACUAGGGAAUGGAGGCUUUAUGUCUAAAAAAAUCUCAACUAGGGAAUGAAACCCCUAUGUUGGCAAACGAAAACUAGGGAAUGGAGGCUUUAUGCCUAAAAAAAAUCUCAACUAGGAAAUGAAGGCCCUAUGUUGGCAAAAUGCGACUAUGAAAUGGAGACCCUAUGCCUAAAAAAUCUCAACUAGGGAAUGGAGGCCCUAUGUAUGCAAAAUGCGACUAGGGAAUGGAGGUCCUUUGUCUAAAAAAUCUCAACUACCAAAUGGAGGCCCUAUGUUGGCAAAAGGAGACUAGGAAAUGGAGGCCCUAUAUGUAAAAAAAAACCUCAACUAGGGAAUGGAGCCCUAGGUUGGAAAAGCAUAAAAUAGAGAUUGGGGUACUAAGCUACCAUUUUUUAAUCUUUUUUUAUUUUUGUUUUCUUUUUCUUUUUAUUGAGUAAAUGCGGGAAAAAACUUGAAGGGGACUUCCCUUUUUAUGGAUUGUUGAUGCAAAGCUGUUCUAGCACUUGCACAUUUCUUUUUCCUCUUUUUUUUUUGGGUUGCACCUGCUUCUUGCAUGGUUGCUUUGGAUUGCACCUAUUUCUAACUUUUUUUCAAACAAAAAACAAUUGUUAGUUUUAAAUGGUGGUUGGUUUAAUGGCCGUGAUUAUUUUGACCAGUUGAUCUCGACCCAACUCUUUUGGUGAAAACUUCUGCGCUUGCUUGUUUUUCUGGAGGUUAAUCUCUUUCCUAAAACCGAGGAAUUCAACUUUUCAAAGUUUCGCAUGACGGUUCACUUGUGCGGGGCUUGGGCCUUUUCACCUCAUUCCACCUUUAGGGGAUUUUAACUUUGGACUUCUUUUAUUUUCAAUAACUUGAUUUCAAAGCAUCGGUCAUCAUGACUAGUCAGGAUUGACUUGAUGCACCCGCUGAGGCUGGGUACUUUUCUUCGGACUUGGCUUUUAUUAAACAGAAACCUGUAAAACCAAUCUUGUCACCUUUUCUUUGUAUUAGCUUCAUAAUAGAGUUAGACCGAAAGGGAUUCAAAGGACAAGAAAAUGAAUUUAAGGAGAAAUGUCCCUUUCGAGGAGGAAAGAAGGACUUAUCUAGAGUGCAUGCAGACUUCAAUAGACAUUACAUGCUUCUUGGACUGGAUACCCUAUCUGCACAACUAUCCAACUUCUCAUAAACCCAUUGCGGCCAUACUUUAAGACCAAGAAACCUUGCCCGGAAUCCUUCAGUGCCAAUGGUGGUGAGGGUUUUCUUAUUUUCGAUUAACAGGCCCUUUGCGGGUUUUCGCCAAUUGACCUCUCUCAUUUCUCUUCUCACCAUCACCUUAUAGUGCUCUGUACGAGUUUUCACUAACAAGACUCUCUCGUUUUUCAGUUUCUUUGCUCACCAUCGCCUUAUGGUUCACCUAGGUUUUCAGCAAUAAGACUCUCUCAUUUUAUUUCUCUCACCUUGAUUGCAUCGGAUCCAAACAACUGUGUUCUCUAAUUUUGAACAUCUUACACCAAUUGAUAGGACUUGAACAAGGUUUGGGUAAAAAGAAUUUAGACCAAAUUACAACUUUGGAACCAUUCAGGCGGGAUCAUCGCCAAACCAUUAUAACAUCUGCCCCAGUUUCACUUUUGGUGGAAAUUGGAUUAUUGAUUUGGUGUGACUGAACCCAGAGAGAGGCUGCCUGCGUAUCCUUUUAAAAUCAAGUCAAACAUAGUUCAGAGAAAACAUUUUGGUUUUGUUGUUUUGUUGUUUUUCUUUUCUUUUGAUACUUUUUUUUUUCAUUUUUUAUAUUUUUUUUCAUUUUUUUUCCAAACAUCUUCAAGUUUCAAAGAGGGUAAUGAAAGGAAAAGGUAACCGGAUCAAAGCGUUAUUAAAGGAUUAGAGUGUUUGGGGUACCGAGAAUGAAAACCUUCUUCAUCCCAAUCAGAUAAUUUUAUUGUUGUAGAAGGAUUAGACAUAGUACCUUUUGACUGCAUCCGCAUCUACAGCUAUUUCAGGUUCGCUUCCUUCAAUGUCUGCUAGAUAUAAUGCCUCUUUUUGGAAACAAUGUUUUGAUAAUGUAUGGACUUUUCCAAUUAGGAGCAAAUUUUCCUUUUUCUUCCUGGCGAUGGGAAUAAUAUGCCUUAAAACGAGUUUCCCACUUCAAAAUUUCUAGGUUGUAAUUUUUUGUUGUAGGCAUGAUUCAUUCUUUGUUGAUACAACCGCUCAUGGUAGACUGCGACCAUUCGCUUUUCAUCGAUCAGGGUUAACUGUUCUAGACGGGUUUUGAUCCAUUCACUAUCUUCAAUUUCAGCUCUGACAAGGAUCCGAAGAGAAGGGAUUUCAACUUCUACUGAUAUUACGGCUUAGUGCCGUAAACCAAUAGGUAUGGGGUUGCUCCAACCGAUGUGCGCAUAGUAGUGCGGUACCCCAACAAUGCAAACAAUAACUUUCCAUGCCACAGCGUGGAAUUUUGAAUCAUCUUUCUCAAAAUCUUUUUGAUGUUCUUGUUUGCUGCUUCGACGGCACCAUUGGCUUUAGGCCGAUAAGGAGUGCAGUCCCAAUGUGUUAUUUUGAAUACUUUGCAAUAUCUCCUCCGUCAAAUGACUGGUCAAGUUUGCAGUGUUAUCUGUGAUGAUAGUUGUAGGGAUACCAAAAUGGCAGAUAAGAUUGGAGUGCACGAAAUCUACCACAUCUUUCUUGGUGACGGAUUUUACAGUGAAGGCUUCAACCCAUUUCAUGAAGUAGUCGAUGGUGACUAGUAUGAAUCUAUGCCCAUUUGAGGCUUUUGGCUCGAUUGCCUUAAUAAUGUCCAUGCCUCAAGUAACAAAUGGCCAAGGUGUUGACAUAUAAUGCAGUUCUAUGGGUGGUGGAUGAAUCAAAUCACCGAGCACCUGACUCUGAUAACACUUCCGAACAAAGCUAAAACAGUCUCUUUCCUAUUUUGAAUCAUCUUUCUCAAAAUCUUUUUGAUGUUCUUGUUUGCUGCUUCGACGGCACCAUUGGCUUUGGGACGAUAAGGAGUAGAGUUGUUAUGCGUUAUCUUGAAUUGUUCGCAUAUCUCCCCCAUCAAAUGACUAUUCAAAUUGUAGCAUUAUCAGUGAUAAUAGUUACAAGAAUAACAAAACAACAGAUGUGCUUCGAAUGUACGAAGUCUACUAUAGCUUUAUUGGUGACAAAUUUGAGAGUAAUUGCUUCAACCCACUUUGUGAAGUAGUCGAUAGCGACCAGUAUGAAUCUAUGCCCAUUUGAAGAAUUUGGCUCAAUAGGCCCAAUGACGUCCAUACCCCAGGCAACAAAUGGCCAAGGUGCUGAAACGGGAUGCAGUUCUGUAGGCGGUGCAUGAUUUCAGAUCACCGUGCACCUGACAUUAAUGACAUUUUCGGAUGAAACUGAAGCAUUUUUUCCAUAGUCAUCCAGUAAUAGCCUUUUCGGAGGAUUUUCUUUACCAAAACAUAUCCGUUCAUGUAGGUUCCGCACACUCUUGCGUUCACUUCAUACAUAAUUCUUCCGGCCUCUUUGGCGUCAACACAUCUUAACAAGUUGAGAUCCGGAGUCCUUUUGUACAAGACAUCGCCGCUCAAGAUUAAACCACUUGCGUGUCGUCUAAUGGUCCUCUUUUGGUCUCUACUGGCUUGCAAAGGUAUUCUUUAGUUUUCAGAAAUCUUCUGAUAUCAUGAGAUAAUGGCUAAAUAUUUGGUUCUGCCUUAACUAUAUUAUAACAACCGUGCCUUUCCUGGAUUUGGAUUUCCAAUGGAUCAAUGUGGGCAUUGCCUAAAUAUAACAACAUCAAGGCCAAAGUAGCGAGCGCAUUGGCUAACUCAUUGUGAAAACGAGGAAUGUACCUGAACUCAACUGACUUGAACCGCCUGCUAAGAUCUUCCAAAUGUUUCUUGUAGGGAAUAAUCUUGACAUCCCAGGUUUUCCAUUCUCCCAGAGCUUGUCAGAUAAUCAAAUUUGAAUAUCCCAUGAUUAACAAUUUUUCAACAUCUUGGUCGAUUGCCAUGUUCAUACCCAUAACGCAGGCAUCAUACUCGUGAAUGUUGUUAGUGUAGAAAAAUUGAAGCCGGGUUGUGGCUGGAUAAUGCUGACCAGUGGGUGAGAUCAAGAUUGCUCCAAUUCCAAUACCUGUUGUGUUCACAGCCCCAUCAAAGAACAUUUUCCAAGCAUGGGUAUCUUCUGAUGUUAUCUCAAUUGAAUUUACCUCUUCAUCCGGGAAGUAGGUGCUCAAAGGCUUGUAUUCAUCAUGAAUCGGGUUUUCAGCCAAGUUAUCUGCUAAAGCCUGGGCUUUUAUUGCCGUAUAGGUGAUGUAGACUAUAUCAAAUUCAGUAAGCAGGAUCUGCCACAUUGCUAACCUCCCUGUGGGCAUUGGUUUUUGGAAUAUGUAUUUUAAAGGAUCCAACCGGGUGAUUAUAUAAGCGGUGUAGGACAACAGGUAAUGCCUAAGCUUCUGGGCGACCCAAGUUAGGGCACAACGAGUCCUUUCCAAUAGGGUAUAUUUGUCUUCAUAUCUUGUGAACCCUUUUCUCAAAUAAUAGAUCGCCUAUUCUAUUUUCCCGAUCACAUCAUGUUGCCCGAGGACACAUCAAAAAUAAUUCUCCAAGACUGUCAAAUACAAGAACAAAGGCCUUCCUAGUUUAAGUGGGACCAAGACUGGCGGGUUCGACAAGUUUUCUUUGAUUUGGUCAAAAGCUUCAUGGCACUCGUCUGUCCAUUUAACUACUGCAUCUUUCUUUAACAACUUGAAGAUGGGUUCACAUGUAGACGUCAACUGGUCAAUGAAUCGGCUGAUGUAGUUCAAUCUUCCCAGCAAGCGCAUAAUAGCUUUCUUGUUUCUUGGAGGGGGCAGAUCUCGAAUGGACUUUAUCUUUGUCGGGUCUAACUCGAUGCCCUCCGACUAACUAUGAAUCCCAAGAGUUUGCCGGAUGGAACCCCAAAUGCAUAUUUGGUUGUGUUUAGUUCCAAAUUAUUUUUAUGUUGUCGCUCAAAGAAUUUUCUCAAGUCCCGCACAUGGUCGUACUGGGUCCUGGAUUUGAUGAUCACGUCGUCCAAAUACACCUCUAUCUCUUGGUGCAUCAUAUCAUGGAAAAUGGUAGUUAUGGCCCUCAUGUAGGUUACCCGGUGUUCUUCAGAUCAAAAGGCAUGACUCGAUAAUAGUACAUGCCUCAGGGUAUGGUAAAAGCUAUCUUUUCUUCAUCCUAUUCUUCUAUCAAUACCUGGUGAUAUCUUGAGUAGAAAUCCACGAAGAACUUUUUCUCAUGCUUGGCGUAGUUAUCAACAUGGAUAUGUAUGUUUGGUAAAGGGAAAUUAUCCUUAGGACUUGCUUUGUUCAGAUCUCUAUAAUCCAUACACACUCAAGUUUUCCCGUCCUUCUUUGGAAGUGGAACUACAUUAGCUAACCAUGUGGUGUAUCGAACCACUCGGAUCACCCCCGCUUUCAACUAUUUUGUGACCUCUUCUUUCAACUUGUCACUGAUAUCAAUUUUAAACUUUCUUUCCAUUUGCUGGAUAGCGGGAUAAUCGGGGUAAGUUGGAAACUUAUGAACCACCAAAUCAACACUUUGUCAUGUCAUCAUAUGAACAAGAAAACAUAUCUUUGAAUUCAAACAAGAGUUGGAUCAAUGCAUCUAGGGUUUUUUCAUCUGUGUGAAUUCUUAUCUUGGUUUCUUUGACUUCUUCAAAACUCCCCAAAUUAACCGCCUCGGUCUCAUUUAAGUUCGGUUUAGGUUUAUUCUCAAAUAGUUCUUGUUCUCAAUUUAUUUCCUUAAAAGUCUCUUCUUCAUCAAAUUCUGGCUCUUGGUUCAUUAUUUUACAAUUAGACACGGUGUUUGGAUUUGGGCAUGAAGUCUGCAAGCAUGUCAUAAUAUUUAAAGUUGCGUUAUUAGAAGUGAAAGAAGAAAUAAGAGAGAAUAAUAACAAAAAUAAGAAAGAAUAAAAAGAGAUGAACGAUGAAAUAUUUAUUUCUUUUCAUUGAAUUUGAAGAUAAUAUGGACUACAUUGGAAAUUAAAGAUAGGAAACUAAAGCAAACAUCCGAGUUACACCCUGAAAUAACUCGUUACGUAGAAUAUAUGGCAGGACUGGACUACCGGGAUUCCUGAUAGAUUGGGAAUGGAGUAGCCUUCUAAAUUUUGUAACUUGGCAUUGGGUCCCAUGUAUAGCACCUCAUCGGUGCUUGAGCCUUCUCACGGCUGAACCGUGUGGGUUUUGUACUUUAUUUGCCUCAUAGCCCCACAGAUUUCUUCAAUUUCCUCAGCCGUGAAAGCCUCAUCUUCUUCUUCCUCACUAUACUUAGGCCUGGCGAAUGUUCUAUAAAGAUGCGGAACCGGCUGAGGCAAGACCCAACUAUCAUUCUUUCGUUUAUCUGCCAUUUUUCAUCAACUGGCGUGGCUUGGAAGCCCAUACUAAAGCACUUCUUGAUGGGCGAUAGGGUGAAACGUUUCGUGAUACCUUGCAGUGAUGCCCCGAGUCACUUCUCGGGCUUAUAACCAUGUUUAUCAUUUCAGCACCGACCAUGAUGGAUGCAUUUGUCAGAAAAGGUUAAUGACAAGGGUUCCCCUCCUCAUAUUGGUCUGCAACCACCACUUCAAAAGCAUGAUAAACUAUAUGAUCAAUACCUUCUCCGGCUUCAAUGCAUAGGCCUGAUGGGUCCCGAUAAAUCUACUACUCAUCCUCUCCAUGGACUACAAUCUCCUGAUCUUCAUGUUCGAAUUUCACCAUCUUGUAAAGAGUAGAAGGAACAACCACUGCUGCGUGAAUCUAAGGUCUUUCCCAAGAGGAAAUUAAAUCCACCGGCCCAAUAGUCAAAAUUAAAUCAAUCUCGCCUAUCGUAUCUCUCUUCAUGUCGUCAGAGGCACGUAAAUAGAUAUUUUUGGGCCAUAUUCUCUCAAUACCGAUUUCCAUACAUUGCAGAGUUGAAAGAUGGCAAAUAUCUACCCAGAACCACAAUCUAGCACGACCCUUUUUCACAUAAUAUCCAUCGCAUUUCAUCGUCAAAUGAAGGGCUUUAUUGUGGGCAGCCCCUUCCGAGGGUAAAUCAUUCUUACUAAAAGAGAUUUGAUUGAUUGCGAAAAACCUUUCUACCAUCAUCUCCAACUGUUCCACAAUGGUUUCAAUGGGUAUAUACGCUUAGUUGAGGGUUUUGAUCACUACUUUCUGAUAUCAGUUGAAUUCAUUAGUAGAGACAACAAAGAGACCUGAGCAAGGGACUUUUGGAGUCGCUCAAUUAUCUCGUAGUUCACCGUUUUCAUUUUUGAAAGAACUGUUUUGCUUCUUCAGCACUCGCUGGCUUCUUAAGCGGGAAAUGCUUCUUUGUGGCAUUAUUUACUUCCUCCAGAUUGAGUUACCUCUUAGCCGGGUUAGUUUCCUUAACUUCUCUAAAGAUCUCUUUACCUCUGUAAGUUACUACCGCUUUGUUGUUGUUCCAUGGAACGACAGUGGGAUGGGCCUUUGUGGUGCGCAGUCAAUAACCACGGGCUCAUUCAGCCUUGGUGGAACUAUUAGCCCACGCACCACGUAGGUCCCUUUGAGCUCAUACAUUUUAGCUUCCUUGUUUAGCUCAAACCUUCUAGGAGGUCUCAAUUACAUUUGUUCUUUCUUGUGGCCUCGGGAAAUAUAGAGAACGACAUUUGUUGAGGGUGCUGCCCCAAUUUCGGUUUCCACUUUCUUUUCACCCUUCUAAGGGGUGGUUUUAUUCUUCUUCUCCCCCUUGUCUUGUUUUGCGACAACUUUUGGCUUCUUGUCCAUAUAGGCUAUGGCAAUGAUGGCUCUUAGAGCUGGGUCAAACUCUCUAUCAUCACAAAUCAUUCCAAUAAGCGUCCCGUUGUUGUGAGCCGGUAAUGGAUUGUUGGUUACAUUAGGAACGCCUUCGUCCUUUAGCACUAUUCUCAUCUCUCUUCAAGGUCCAAUAAUUAUAUGUAUCAUGUCCUUUCGCCCUCGAGUGGUGAGCAUAUCGAGCACCAGCUCAGUAAGCGGGCGAUGCUAGGUUUUCCUAGUUUGGGUACGGGCUGCAACUAACCCAUCUGGACAAGUUUUAGGAAAAGGCUGGAAUAUGAGUCACCAAUGGGUGUGAAGUUUCCAUCUUGGGUGGUUCCCGGGCACGAAAGUUGUUCUGUGGAGGUCAGGGAUUAUACUGAGCUUGGUGAGGAGGUUGAUUUCUGGGAAAUGGAGCUCGGUUUUGGGUGAAUUGUUGUUGUGGCCUAGCAUAAGGUUGGGCAUCCAUCACUGCAUAUGGCUGAAGACCAUAACAUAGGCCGCAUCUUGAUGGGGAUAGUAGUGUUAUGGAGUAUUUAUAAUGAAGUAAGGGUUGGGUGGACGAUAUUUUAUUACACUUGAAGUUUCCAUUGCCGAUUCUUCCUUCUUCUUCCAAUUUGCUACGCCUCCAGACCUACCUUGAAUUGCUUAGGAGGUAGCCCUUAUUGUAUAUUGACUUAAUAUGCACCCUGUCUUUAACCCAUUUUCAACCAUUUCACCAACCUUUAUGGCUUCAGCAAACAGUUUCCCCAUCGCAGACAUCAUGUUUUGAUAAUAAUCAGCCUGUAGUUCUUGAAGAAAGACACUACCCAUCUCUAUUUCGUCCAUUGGAGAAGUAGCUUUGGCGGUUUUCUCACGCCAUUUGACAGCAUACUCUCCGAAGCUUUUCGAGGACCUUUUAUUUAUAUUUGAUAAUGAGUCCACGUCAGGGGCUAUGUCAAUGUUAUACUGAAACUACCUGACGAAAUCUCGAGCCAGGUCAUCCCAAAUAUGCCACCGAGAUAUAUCCUGGUCCAUAUAACAUUCAGAAGCAAUACCGACCAGGCUCUCCCCAAAAUAAGCAAUGAAGAGCUCUUCUUUUCCACCUGCUCCCUGAAAUUGGUUGCAAUAUCUCUUAAGGUAGGCUAUGGGAUCCCCAUGCUCGUCAUACUUUUCAAACUUUGGGGUUUUAAAACCCAAGGUUAAUGUACGUAUGGGAACAUACACAGGUCAACAUAGGAUACACUCUUUUGCCCGCUCAAACCCCAUAUAUUUUUUAGACUCUGCUCCAUGCUCUUCAUCUUUCUAGUAAUAUCCUCUUCUUCAGAGUUUUUUGUGGUUUUUUCUUGCCCGUGAUAAACUCGUAUGGGGUGGCUGAGGGUAAGCAUUGGUAGUAAUCUGGGUAGGUUCCAUUGGGAAAGAUGGUGUUUGAAAGGUGAAGGCCGAUGGAUCAAAGCUAGGCCUAAGUUGAGUAGGUUGUGUUGUAGCUGAACAAGGUGGUGCAAUGAAUAUAUUUGAGGCAACUUUUGACAUUAACACCUGGGGACGAGCCUUAGAAGGUGUUCCAACAAAGUGGGUUGAAAUGGUAGGAUAUCCCAGUGGGGUGUUUGGAUAACUUAUGGGGACAUUGGUGGUUCCACUCGCCCUUGGAAGUAACUCAGGGAAUCCAUGUAUCAUGCUUGGUGGUUCUUUUCCGUUGGCCCAAGCGUCCCACAUUUCCAUCAUACGAAGAUGUAGAAUUCUAUUUUCUCAGCAGUUGCCGACUCAGAAGUUGGGAUGUCCAAGAUCGGGCUAUCCUCCGGAAUAGGGCCUGUUUGGCAGAUGACUUUCUGACGACAUUUCAACGCUUCCUUUUGACCUCGUGAAGUAUGGAUGUGAAGCCAGACUACCACAAAACCAACAACCCUACUAUAGAACCUGUACUUAAUAGUAGACAACAAACCGGUCAGUUUGAAGCAAUUAACAUACAGGUAAUCGCACGUUGGGGUGUGAUGCACCUAUACAUCUAAAUGUGUUUCUACAUGUUUCACAACUGUUGCGUGUUUCAUCCCGUCUUUUGCCUAUUUUCCCUUUUUUUUUCUUUCCACUUUGGCUCUUUGUACUUAUUACCCCCCCUCCCAUUUUCCGCUCUUUUAUGUCCUCUCUUUUCUUGCUUUGCCCCUUUUUUCGUUUUUCUUUUGGUUUUUCUUUGGCUUUUUUUUCUCUUUUUUUUAAUUAUUCUUUCGGUUCUUUCCUCCCAUAUUCCUCUUUUAUUUGAGUUAUUCAAAAAAUCAUGACCGGAUUUGAUGAGGAUUGCAUAUGUAUCACGAUGCCGCGUGAAUCAGGUCAUUACGUAGUUCAGAAAAACAAAUGUGAAAAAUAAAGAAACAAUUUUUUUUGAAAUUUUUAAUUUUCAUUAGUAAAACUCCUAAACUACAAACAAACUCAAAAUAACUUUUAAACUAAAAAAACUGAAAUACAGACUUGAUAAAUGAAAAUUAUUAGUACAUAUGUGCUUUGACUCUUGGGGCCCGUGGGACAUCAUUCGAUCUUGCCAUGUGCGUACGCGUAAGAUCCCCAUGGAGCCGCUCCAGAUCACUCAUUAUUUGGCGUACGAAUGUCUUUAGCCAACGAGUCCCACUGUUCUUGUGAGGCUUCGACAAACUCUUGGAGAUGGAGACUUUUAGCUGGCCUUCCAAACACCACUUUCCUUUUGUACCAAGCGAGGUAACCGGACGAGACUUCACCUCGAGAUAAAUCACGCACUCGGGUAUUUGCAGUUAUAUAUUGGCAUUCACUCCCAAUAUAUAACAGCAAAUACUUCUGUCGACCAGGGUUAUAUACAAGGGUUAUAUAUUGGCAUUCACUCCCAUGAAACUGUGUAUCAGAACGGAUCUCGGCCACAUGGAGGCUAAGGUCUUCAUCCUUGGGUACUAUUUAACAUCUCCCUAGCUGUCUCAAAUCCCGGUAAAGGGCAUAAGCCUGGAUACUUCUGAGACCCAUGGAAAGGAAAUGAGGCCCGCUAGCUGGCAUGUAUAUGAUUUCAUCAACAAGAAGCUACCCGAACUCCAUUCUAUGUGAUUUGCAGUGAUGGAACGAAGGCGUGAUAUCCAUUCUAUCACCCCUUCUAGCAUGUUAAAGCGUCGACCCUUGUAUAAAAUUCACCUAUCCAGCUUUUCCCUAUCGACCCAUAGUUCAUGUAUUGAGGACGAUGAAAUAGAUAUUCAUCAUCCAUAUUUGUAGCAACAAGUUUCACCCUUCAAAAAAGUCUCCUCCGACUUUGCAGGUUGUGAGAGCUCGGAAUAUUUCAGACAAUAUCAUGGGUGCGAUGGUGCUUUUGGCCGGGCUACCUUAAUUUUAUUUUCCCAAUUCCUUCUUUAUUAUAGCAACCAGUCAACAUGCAAACCAAAGCAAAGAAUUGUACAAAUAGCACGUAAAAUAUACAUCAGGAUGCUCUUUGAUCUUGGGGUCCACUUGUCCUAGAUGGACCCAACCCACUGUGUUGAGUCCCCAUAGCCAAAUGCACAUGAUGCAAACAAACAUUCCUACUAGGGAUCUGGCAUGAGAUCGAGUUAUUCUAAAUUAAAAACCUGGAUAUAUUGUUCUAGACUUGUGUACCCGAGCGGACAACUCAAGCCGAGGGGGUCUACGUACCGAGAACCAAAAGAUCAUCCGGCUUUGUAACUUGUCCGAGCCUCUUUCUUAUUUUAAGGUAUGACACUAACAGAAAGUGGAAUCAUGCCAGCGUGCACAUCCCCAAAGAUGAGAAAAGAAGGAUUUCGCAACAGUUUAUAUACAAUUCAAAUAAUAUCAAAGCGAUAAAAGCGGCAAUUAGCACAUUAGGUUCAACAUCUAAAAAUAAGAUAAUUAAUAAAUCCGUAAUAUAACAAUUAAACUCGAAUUCUUCAAUACUGAUUCAAAGUUCUGAAAGCAUAUAAGGGGAUUGUUUUCCAAUUAAAGUGACAUAUUCGAAAUGGUACUAUUUAAUUUAUUUUAGAGUCGCCACUUGGGAUAUUUAUUAUGGUGUCCCAAGUCACCGGGUUGUACUAAGUCCCAAAUCCAGGAAAUUUCAAAUUUCCGUUUGAAGCCUGCGAACUAAAAAUUCUAAAUAAGGAAUUCUGUUAACCUGGGAGAAGGUGUUAGGCAUUCUCGGGUUCUGUGGUUAUUGCACGGCCGCUUAAACUAUUAUAAUUGGUAUAUUAUCUGAUUUGAAUACAUAUUUUAACAUAUGGUUCAAUUUUAUCUUUAUAACUGAUUUUAUUUAGAUAGUUUUACAUAUUACAAAUCAUGUCACGGGAACCGUACCGACGAUCUACAACAUGUUUAAUUUUAAAGACUAAAUUGUGGGCGGGUCACAUAAAUGUACCCCCGAAUUUUAGUAAUUAGAGGUCACAACUACGUCACGGGAACCGUAUCCGUAUCUAUGACAAAAUUAAUUAACGUGCCUAAAGCAAACUACGAAGAUUCAAGGCAUUUCAAUACUAAUUUUUUAUUUAUAUGAGGGCCAGAAAUUAUAUGUUGCUUAAUACGGCAAACCCCAAAAAUUGAUAGACUUGUUAAUUUAUUAAAGACUAAGGGAAUUUCUAGUUUACUUUAAGCAAACGUUUAAGCUAAACUUAGUAACCAUUAAACUAGCAAACACGAAACAAUAUUUGAUUGUCGAAGGAGCUCAAGUGGGCUAUAGCACAAUGACCAACUGCCAAUUACAGGAACGAGUAUGAAGACACAGCUGGGCUCAAUCAUAAAGCCCGUUUCGAGAUUCCGCCGGCCGAAGGAGAAAUUUGGCACAAAUGGGCCAAUGCUAAUAGCCCAAUUUAGUGACUCAGCACUAACAUUUGAGACAGCCUUACAUUUUCAUGAACAUUAUUGAAUCUGAACCAACACUGACGAACUUAAACACAUGUACAACAACAUUUGAAUGCCAAUAUAUAUUCUAUACUGAAAAUAUAAUUGUUAGUGUGAUAACGAGCCUUUACACAAAUUGUUCAUCAUUUAACAUCAAAAAUUCAAGGAUCACGGCUCAUGCUAAAUUCUGAUUCAGUAUAUUUGAACAAGACCAGACGACUUAAAGCUUUCUAAAUAAAGCCAAAUAUAAAGGGGUAAUUUAAAUCUGAGAAUUUCAGAGUCCAAAAUUAAGUUCAAGUUCCAUUUAAAAUCCUUUUAAACUUCAAGGUACUCAUACAUGAGAAAAGGCAAAACUAAGGGACAAACUGAAAUCAUUAGACUAUGCUUCAGGCUGUACACAAGCAAAUCUAAAGAACAAUUAAUGGAAAACAAACCUAAAUAAAAAUUACUAGACCAACAACAUGAAUGGUCCGAACUAAUAAGCAUUUAACCCAUAAUAACAGUCGACUAAAUAAUCACAGUCCUCAAUUAAUAUAUGUUAUGCUAAUCCUAAAAAGAACUCUUGGAUCAACUACAUUCAAACAAAAUCUCAGAUCCAAACCUUGAUGCAAACAUGUAGUACUGAUGACAUAAUGAACACACAUAAGAAGCUAGAAUAAAAGAAACAUAGAAUAAAAUACAACAAAUUCAAAUAGCUGAUCAGGCAAUAGAGAAUUAGCAUUUGUCAAUUUCUUCAACUCGAGUUAUAUGUUUUCAUACUUGCACCUCACAUACUAACAAAAGCCAGAGCAUAUCUGGGUACAGCAACACACAAUGAGAAAACGAGCUGAAGUUUAAGAAGAAACGGUAGCAGCAAAUCUGAUUCACUAAAUCAGCAACAAAACAUACUUGAAAACCAGUUUUUGACUCGAAAUAUGACCCCUGAAAUCCUUUGUAACUUUCAGAUAAUAGAAUCAACAAGAAAACUAGACCAAUUUUUAGCAGGGAUGGCCAUGCAUUUCAAUGUUUUGAAGACUCGGUCAUUUACAAUUUAUUCAGGAUUUUUAGUCUCUAAUUUUCUGCCUUGAGAAUGAAGGAACAAUAACUUUAUAGGCAAGCCUUAGGGCAAUAGAAAUGGGUCAGUUUAGUGCCUUUUGAUCCUUUUGAAAUUUUUAUUUUUGCUACUUGGUCCUUAGUUUAAAAUUAAUUUUUGAAAAUCAGACCUAAUCUGCACCUUCUAGAAAGCUUCCCCAGUCAGUUAUUAAAGAUUUCUUAUCCUACAAUUUCUUAAUUAACCUUUAAACCCCUGUUUUUUACUUCAGGAACCUAAAUGGUUCAUAUUGACACAAGUUUCAUCCCAAAAACCUGGGCUUCCCAACCCAGUUUAAUUCCCCCCUUUGGGCUUCUGAUUUUCAUAACUCAGUUCAAGCCACAAUCAAAGGUCACAAAUUAACGGGCUAUCCAGAGUUUCCCAAAAGAAAAACUAUAAAACCUUUAAAAUGAAAUUAAAGAAAAGGGAAAUGAACUAAUUAGACCUAAAUAAUAAAAAACCAAAGAAAACUAAACUUAACUUUUUAUUAAUCUAAUUAUGCAACAGAACAAUGAUUAAAAGCAAAAACAAAACAAAGAAGAAGAAAAGAGAAGACGAAAAAGAGAUGAAGAUGAACUUAAACGAAAGAAAAAGAAGAAAAAUGCAAGAAAAUUAAAGAAGCUGAAAAUACCUAAGAACCAAGCAGACAAAAUCUUCAAACUACUGCUCAGCCUUUGAUUUUGACCGAACGGGCCUUAAUCAUGUGUUCUCAGAAGAAAACAUGCGAAUAAGGUCAAUUUCAGCCUCAAACCUUCGCUAAACUUGCUGAUUUGGGGUUUUGGGAUUUUAGGAUUCAGAACUUCGAUUUAAGAUUCGAAGGAGACUAGGGUGAUUCAAGGGAAACGAGUUAUGGAUUGGGAAAAAGGAGACCAUGGGGGUUUUGGGAUGUUAGUUUGGGACGGAUUGGGAGCGACGCCGCCACCGAAGAAUGCUAGGGCAGCGCUAGGGUUAUGGGCUAUCUCUGAAGAGGGAGGUGAAGUGAGAGAGAUGAAUUAGAAGGGGGUAGG